AGUGAACGCUGGCGGUAGGCCUAACACAUGCAAGUCGAACGGCAGCACAGAGGAGCUUGCUCCUUCGGUGGCGAGUGGCGGACGGGUGAGGAAUACAUCGGAAUCUACUCUGUCGUGGGGGAUAACGUAGGGAAACUUACGCUAAUACCGCAUACGACCUACGGGUGAAAGCAGGGGAUCUUCGGACCUUGCGCGAUUGAAUGAGCCGAUGUCGGAUUAGCUAGUUGGCGGGGUAAGGGCCCACCAAGGCGACGAUCCGUAGCUGGUCUGAGAGGAUGAUCAGCCACACUGGAACUGAGACACGGUCCAGACUCCUACGGGAGGCAGCAGUGGGGAAUAUUGGACAAUGGGCGCAAGCCUGAUCCAGCCAUACCGCAUGGGUGAAGAAGGCCUUCGGGUUGUAAAGCCCUUUUGUUGGGAAAGAAAUCCAUCUGGUUAAUACCCGGGUGGGAUGACGGUACCCAAAGAAUAAGCACCGGCUAACUUCGUGCCAGCCGCCGCGGUAA
This 506-nucleotide ribosomal RNA is filed under the name uncultured bacterium. Its description in RNAcentral is "partial 16S ribosomal RNA". It matches the Rfam family "Bacterial small subunit ribosomal RNA", at positions 29 to 523 of the family's 1533-position model. The record is from RNAcentral.